RNAcentral lists this transfer-messenger RNA (394 nucleotides) under Oscillatoriaceae. RNAcentral's name for it is "FACHB-68 sp014695725 Standard tmRNA". It matches the Rfam family "transfer-messenger RNA". From Rfam's summary of the family: Bacterial tmRNA, also known as 10Sa RNA or SsrA, is named for its dual tRNA and mRNA-like properties. Its role is to liberate the mRNA from a stalled ribosome. RNAcentral also lists the same sequence under 1 other name. The record is from RNAcentral. Lineage: Bacteria; Bacillati; Cyanobacteriota; Cyanophyceae; Oscillatoriales.
GGGGCCGUAAUGGUUUCGACAGGCGAGCGAAAGCUACUUUGUGAUUCAGGCCGAGAGUGAGUCGCCUCUCGUAAAUCCUAGGCUCAAAAAAAAAGUAAAUGCGAACAACAUCGUUCCUUUUGCUCGUAAGACAGCCACUGUUGCUGCCUAAUAAAAACCUCAUUUAGGUUCGAGCGUCUGUAGUUCGACUCCGUUAAGGAUUGCAGACAAAACCCCAACGGAUGCUCUAGUAAGUGUUCUCUGGGUGGCUUACUAGCUAAGAUUUAACCAGUGCAUCCUGUCAUCCGGGAUAAUGGAUGGUUCCCGCCCUGAGGGUCAGAUGGGCUAAGCCUGUGAAUGAGCGGAGAGUCAAUACCUUGUUUGGACAGCAGUUCAAUUCUGCUCGGCUCCAUUU